UACCAGCUCUCCGAGUGGUGUGGAUGUUUAUUGGGCCUAAAGCAUCCGUAGCUGGCUGGACAAGUCCCCUGUUAAAUCCACCGAUUUAAUCGUUGGAGUGCGGGGGAUACUGUUCGGCUAGGGGACGGGAGAGGCAGACGGUAUUUUCGGGGUAGGGGUGAAAUCCUAUAAUCCCGGGAAGACCACCAGUGGCGAAGGCUGUCUGCUAGAACGCGCCCGACGGUGAGGGAUGAAAGCUGGGGGAGCGAACCGGAUUAGAUACCCGGGUAGUCCCAGCUGUAAACGAUGCAGGCUAGGUGUUUGGGCGGCCACGUGCCGCUCUAGUACCGCAGGGAAGCCGUUAAGCCUGCCGCCUGGGGAGUACGGCCGCAAGGCUGAAACUUAAAGGAAUUGGCGGGGAGCACCACAAGGGGUGAAGCUUGCGGUUU
This 428-nucleotide ribosomal RNA is filed under the name uncultured archaeon. Its description in RNAcentral is "bacterial SSU rRNA". It matches the Rfam family "Archaeal small subunit ribosomal RNA", at positions 474 to 903 of the family's 1478-position model. The record is from RNAcentral.